UGGGGAAUUUUGCACAAUGGGGGAAACCCUGAUGCAGCGACGCCGCGUGAUUUAGAAGGCCUUCGGGUUGUAAAAAUCUUUUUUACGGGAUGAAAAUGACAGUACCGUAAGAAUAAGGUCCGGCUAAAUACGUGCCAGCAGCCGCGGUAAUACGUAUGGACCGAGCGUUGUCCGGAAUCAUUGGGCGUAAAGGGUACGUAGGCGGGUAAGCAAGUUAGAAGUGAAAUCCUAUAGCUCAACUAUAGUAAGCUUUUAAAACUGCUCAUCUUGAGGUAUGGAAGGGAAAGUGGAAUUCCUAGUGUAGCGGUGAAAUGCGCAGAUAUUAGGAGGAAUACCGGUGGCGAAGGCGACUUUCUGGCCAUAACCUGACGCUGAGGCUCGAAAGCGUGGGUAGCAAACAGG
RNAcentral lists this ribosomal RNA (402 nucleotides) under Bacteroidota bacterium. RNAcentral's name for it is "Bacteroidetes bacterium partial 16S ribosomal RNA". It matches the Rfam family "Bacterial small subunit ribosomal RNA", at positions 355 to 776 of the family's 1533-position model. The record is from RNAcentral. Lineage: Bacteria; Pseudomonadati; Bacteroidota.